CAGCAGACGCUAUGACCUGGCCGUAAACGACUUGUCAGGCGGGUAAACGAGUUAUGACUGGGAUCCGACAUCCCUUCUGGCUCUUGACGAACGCUGGCGGCGUGCUAAACACAUGCAAGAUCGAACGAAGCACUUUUACAGAUUUCUUCGGAAUGAAAGUUUUGGUGACUGAGUGGCGGACGGGUGAAGUAACGCGUAGGGUAACCUGCCUCACACAGGGGGAUAACAGUUGGAAACGGGCUGCUAAAUACCGCAUAAGCGCACAGUACCGCAUGGUACAGUGUGAAAAACUCCGGUGGUGUGAGAUGGACCCGCGUCUGAUUAGCUAGUUGGCAGGGCAACGGCCUACCAAGGCGACGAUCAGUAGCCGACCUGAGAGGGUGACCGGCCACAUUGGGACUGAGACACGGCCCAAACUCCUACGGGAGGCAGCAGUGGGGAAUAUUGCACAAUGGGGGAAACCCUGAUGCAGCGACGCCGCGUGAGCGAAGAAGUAUUUCGGUAUGUAAAGCUCUAUCAGCAGGGAAGAAGAAAUGACGGUACCUGACUAAGAAGCACCGGCUAAAUACGUGCCAGCAGCCGCGGUAAUACGUAUGGUGCAAGCGUUAUCCGGAUUUACUGGGUGUAAAGGGAGCGCAGGCGGAAGGCUAAGUCUGAUGUGAAAGCCCGGGGCUCGACCCCGGUACUGCAUUGGAAACUGGUCAUCUAGAGUGUCGGAGGGGUAAGUGGAAUUCCUAGUGUAGCGGUGAAAUGCGUAGAUAUUAGGAGGAACACCAGUGGCGAAAGGCGGCUUACUGGACGAUAACUGACGCUGAGGCUCGAAAGCGUGGGGGAGCAAACAGGAUUAGAUACCCUGGUAGUCCACCGCCGUAAACGAUGAAUACUAGGUGUCGGGAAAGCACCAGCUUUUCCGGUGGCCGCCGCAAACGCAUUAAGUAUUCCACCCUGGGGAGUACGGUCCUCUAAGGAUGAAACUCAAAUGACAUCGACGCAAGGGCGAUCAGG
RNAcentral lists this ribosomal RNA (1005 nucleotides) under uncultured bacterium. RNAcentral describes it as "bacterial SSU rRNA". It matches the Rfam family "Bacterial small subunit ribosomal RNA", at positions 1 to 929 of the family's 1533-position model. The record is from RNAcentral.